RNAcentral lists this long non-coding RNA (1500 nucleotides) under Canis lupus familiaris (dog). Its description in RNAcentral is "lncRNA (ENSCAFG00000050990.1)". Lineage: Eukaryota; Metazoa; Chordata; Mammalia; Carnivora; Canidae. The record is from RNAcentral.
UUUUUUCUUUUCUUUUUUUUUUUUUUUUUGAAUCCCCUCUCCUCACCUUUCCCCCCUCCCCCUGUAGAUAACUGGCUGCUCCAGGAGUUAGAGAAGAAGAACGGAGAUGAACAUGAAUAGUAUAUGACCACUUGAAAACAUCGUCUGAUCUUUCUCCUUUGUUUUACUUUAAAGACUGAAUCUUCUGUGCUUCUGUCUCCCCAGUCAGUAUUCCAUAUUUUUUUUUUCCCAGCAGAAUUUUCCCCAAUGGCAUUUAGUAGCUAAAAUGCCAAUUUGGAGCAGCUAGUGAUUUCAAAGCAAAUGCACUUGUUUCCUGAAUAACUACAGAUACUCGGAGAAACCCUAUUCUUCCUGAGAUACGCUGCUUUCAGAAAAAAAAAAAAAAAAAAAAGCCUAAUGUUUUGUUUUCUUUAAGGUUAUAGGAUUAUGGAUACAUAUUUUAAAAAAAAAAAUCCCUUCUCAUUUCAGACUUUUGAUAUUCAUUCAGCAGAGCAGACAUGGCUACUGUGAGCCUGUGGUCAGAAAGCAAGACCCCAGGGGUCAUUGCAUAGUCCUCAAUGCUGCUUAUCUGAACCCUUUGCAAUUCGAUCAUCUCAAGAUUCCUACUAGCAUUUUUGAAAGGUUUUAGAGAAAAAGCCAAUGCAAUGAAUUUCAAGAUUCCACUUUGGUAAGCAGUACUUCACAAACUUGACUGUGCUUACCAGAAACCAGGGAAUCUUUCAGAUGAGGAUUCUGGUCUGGUAGGAAGAGAAGGGAUGGGAUUCAGCAUUUCUAGCAAGCUCUCUGACCACACCCUGAUUAUUAGGACUUAGUCAACUUGGGAAGUUGAAUUCACUUCCAUGAGUGGGUGCAAUGGCCGCAAGGACUCCACCAUCUUUUUUCUUUAGAGGGCUUAAUAAUCAAGACUUCUCAGUGUAUUGAACUGUUAAGGAGUGAAGAGACCUUCCUCCUAUUACUGGUUUUGUUAUUAAUGGACUAUGUGACUUUGAGCAGUCACUUUUUGACCCACGGCCAAUUUAUCUAUUAAAACUGAAGAGUAAACCAAAAUAAAUGAACAAACGUACCUGGUCCUGGAUGGGAGACUCAAUGUUGUAAAUUAAUUUAUAAAAUUAAUGUAAUUAUUAUUAAAAGCCCACUAUAAUUUUUCAUGGAACUUGAAAAGUUAAUCUUAAAAUGUGUUUGUGGGAGCAAAGGGUCAAACCUGUCAACAUAAUUUUAUAUACAAUACAAUUAAGAGCAAGAUAUGAACAACUUCCAUAUUAACUAUUAAGACAAUAGAAAAUGACAGUAACUGAGGGCAAUGUAGCUUUGGUUCAGGGAUAGAAAUUUAGUUCAAUGGAAUAGAAUAGGGGGCUCAGAAAUAUAUCCCUGAAUUUAUGGAAACUUGAUAAAGAACAGGUGGCAUUACAGAGCAGUGAGGAAAAAUUAAUUAUUCAGACGAUAGAUUAAGCAUAUGAAAAAAGUAUAAUUCACACCUAAAUAUGUAUUUAAGGAUACUGA